Molecule: long non-coding RNA, 871 nt
Organism: Mytilus californianus (California mussel)
Lineage: Eukaryota; Metazoa; Mollusca; Bivalvia; Mytilida; Mytilidae
Exons: 3
Source: RefSeq, a predicted model, not a curated record
CCCUACCCAUAGUAGGUGGGACAGAAAGACCGAAAGACAGAUUUUAUACAAUUAAAGAAAUGAUCAUUCAAUUUAACUUUAAUUCCCAACUUUAGGGAAUUUUAUACACAAAACAUUUAAGAUAUACAUGUUUUAGGCCAUACCAAUGCUAUUCUAUGGUUUAAGUCAAAAUUUUUAACAAGAAGGAAAAAUUCAUUAUUUUUCACUUUUUUUAAAGAUCCUUUAAUUUGCAACAAAACAGUCAGAGGCUAGGUAAGGAUAAUUUAACAGUCAGAGGCUAGGUAAGGAUAAUUUAAGUCAGAGGCUAGGUAAGGAUAAUUUAACAGUCAGAGGCUAGGUAAGGAUAAUUUAACAGUCAGAGGCUAAAUAAGGAUAAUUUAACAGUCAGAGGCUAGGUAAGGAUAAUUCAACAGACAGAGGCUAGGUAAGGAUAAUUUAACAGUCAGAUCUUCACUCUUAUCCCUACUUGCCUAAAAUUAGGGUUAUUUUGACCUUAACACACUCUAAACACUUGUUUAUUGUUGAAGAACAUAUGUUGACCUCUAGAUGUCGAUUGGUUUUUUGUGUUGUUGGGUUUCUGGAAACCUUUACCCCACAUCUCAAUUUAUCAAAAACAAAUUUAUUGCAGUUUUUGACAUUAUGCUUAAAAGUUGAAAAUCUCUAGACUGCAUUUUAUUAUGAACAAACAUUAUAUCUAUAUAUAAAUAAAAUACUGGUAUGAAAAAGUAAAAUGCACAAUGUCAAUUUCAUUGGAAUGUAAUGAUAUAACUACAUAUAAAGGACAGUCAUUAAUAUGUGUUCAUUGCAAACAGAUAAAACUAAGGGCAGUUUUACAAAAACAUACAUAGGAACAAAUGAAGGCACUUCAAAU